CCUACGGGAGGCAGCAGUAAGGAAUAUUGGUCAAUGGACGCAAGUCUGAACCAGCCAUGCCGCGUGAAGGAUGAAUGCCCUCUGGGUUGUAAACUUCUUUUAUAGGGGACGAAAAAGGGUCUUUUUAGAUCAACUGACGGUACCCUAGGAAUAAGCACCGGCUAACUCCGUGCCAGCAGCCGCGGUAAUACGGAGGGUGCAAGCGUUAUCCGGAUUUACUGGGUUUAAAGGGUGCGUAGGUGGGUUGGUAAGUCAGCGGUGAAAUCUUCGAGCUUAACUCGGAAACUGCCAUUGAUACUAUCAGUCUUGAAUAUCCUGGAGGUGAGCGGAAUAUGUCAUGUAGCGGUGAAAUGCUUAGAUAUGACAUAGAACACCAAUUGCGAAGGCAGCUCACUACGGGAUUAUUGACACUGAGGCACGAAAGCGUGGGGAUCAAACAGGAUUAGAUACCCUGGUAGUCCACGCCCUAAACGAUGGAUACUCGACAUUUGCGAUAUACAGUAAGUGUNUGAGCGAAGANAUAAGUAUACCACCUACGGAGUACGAGUCGCGAGAGUAGAACGUACAAAUAGUAAGUUAGUACGGCGUAGAGACGUAGACCGACGGACGACGACGAGGGGAGGAGG
RNAcentral lists this ribosomal RNA (626 nucleotides) under uncultured bacterium. RNAcentral's name for it is "bacterial SSU rRNA". It matches the Rfam family "Bacterial small subunit ribosomal RNA", at positions 338 to 1414 of the family's 1533-position model. The record is from RNAcentral.